Molecule: long non-coding RNA, 854 nt
Organism: Quercus robur (English oak)
Lineage: Eukaryota; Viridiplantae; Streptophyta; Magnoliopsida; Fagales; Fagaceae
Exons: 2
Source: RefSeq, a predicted model, not a curated record
GUUAGUGACAGUGGUUAGGAAACUGUGCAAGGGCAGUUGAGUUAGCAGUGGAGUUAGUUACAGAGACUAGUGGGGUGACAGCUGUGAGGUGUGGUUUAAAAGACCAAGGAGUUGUACAAUGGUCAACUAAGCAAAUUGUGAAUCUGAAUACAGUCUUUCUUUUUCUUCUUUCUUUUUCUUUUCCCAAUUCUUGGAGGCAUAGUUGACUCCAAACCCAGCUGGAUUCACAUCCAGUGCAAUAGCUAGGGUAUUGCACGGGGUGCAAUAGCUUUAAUAUCAGCCAUGGAUUAAAUCUAAUGCUCAGAAAAUUGACACGUUAUAUCUCCACGCUGGCAAUCCGCGUGCUUCAAUUUUUCUCCUCUCUUUUUUUUCGCUCUUUUCACUUCAGCAAUUCAGCUUUCCCAAAUAUGAGUUUCAAAGAAAAAAAAAGAAUCUCUUGGAGACUCUAAAUCCAUGGCCGAAUCUCAGUGGGCCUCAGCUCAUCCCACACCACCACCACCGGCGAUGCUUCCCGGUCUAGGCUUCUCCUCUUUCAAGUCUUGAGGGAGAUUCGUCAUAUUGAGAAAUGCGCCAAGCUAUUCUUCAAAAUUGGUUAAAUCAUUCAGGAGAGAUUCAUCUUGUGUAAUGGAAAAAUCAAAACAAAUUGAAGUUUCGAAUGGACUUGUCUCGGCCAUGGCAUCAUUCAGGAGAUUCAUCUCUUGCCAUUCAUCUCUUGCCUUCCAUCGUUGCCAUUGUAUAAUUGAAUUGCAGUGCAAGUUGUAUUUUCAUGUAGUAACUGAUUUUUUGUGUUGAUGAAUAGAUGAAAUGUAAACAAAUUUGUUUUGCAAAUAGCAUGUUGUGAUGGAGUUCUAUUA